This 509-nucleotide ribosomal RNA is filed under the name Candida albicans. RNAcentral's name for it is "eukaryotic LSU rRNA". The stretch from base 142 to 295 matches the Rfam family "5.8S ribosomal RNA". The record is from RNAcentral. Lineage: Eukaryota; Fungi; Ascomycota; Pichiomycetes; Serinales; Debaryomycetaceae.
AAAUGAACUUGCUUAUUGCACCACAUGUGUUUUUCUUUGAAACAAACUUGCUUUGGCGGUGGGCCCAGCCUGCCGCCAGAGGUCUAAACUUACAACCAAUUUUUUAUCAACUUGUCACACCAGAUUAUUACUAAUAGUCAAAACUUUCAACAACGGAUCUCUUGGUUCUCGCAUCGAUGAAGAACGCAGCGAAAUGCGAUACGUAAUAUGAAUUGCAGAUAUUCGUGAAUCAUCGAAUCUUUGAACGCACAUUGCGCCCUCUGGUAUUCCGGAGGGCAUGCCUGUUUGAGCGUCGUUUCUCCCUCAAACCGCUGGGUUUGGUGUUGAGCAAUACGACUUGGGUUUGCUUGAAAGACGGUAGUGGUAAGGCGGGAUCGCUUUGACAAUGGCUUAGGUCUAACCAAAAACAUUGCUUGCGGCGGUAACGUCCACCACGUAUAUCUUCAAACUUUGACCUCAAAUCAGGUAGGACUACCCGCUGAACUUAAGCAUAUCAAAAGCCGGAGGAA